This 686-nucleotide ribosomal RNA is filed under the name uncultured beta proteobacterium. Its description in RNAcentral is "bacterial SSU rRNA". It matches the Rfam family "Bacterial small subunit ribosomal RNA", at positions 34 to 713 of the family's 1533-position model. Lineage: Bacteria; Pseudomonadati; Pseudomonadota; Betaproteobacteria. The record is from RNAcentral.
CGCUGGCGGCAUGCCUUACACAUGCAAGUCGAACGGCAGCACGGGAGCAAUCCUGGUGGCGAGUGGCGAACGGGUGAGUAAUAUAUCGGAACGUGCCCAGUCGUGGGGGAUAACGUAGCGAAAGCUACGCUAAUACCGCAUACGAUCUACGGAUGAAAGCGGGGGACUCGCAAGAGCCUCGUGCGAUUGGAGCGGCCGAUAUCAGAUUAGGUUGUUGGUGAGGUAAAAGCUCACCAAGCCUGCGAUCUGCAGCUGGUCUGAGAGGACGACCAGCCACACUGGAACUGAGACACGGUCCAGACUCCUACGGGAGGCAGCAGUGGGGAAUUUUGGACAAUGGACGAAAGUCUGAUCCAGCAAUGCCGCGUGCAGGACGAAGGCCUUCGGGUUGUAAACUGCUUUUGUACGGAACGAAACGGUCUGCUUUAAUACAGUGGGCUAAUGACGGUACCGUAAGAAUAAGCACCGGCUAACUACGUGCCAGCAGCCGCGGUAAUACGUAGGGUGCGAGCGUUAAUCGGAAUUACUGGGCGUAAAGCGUGCGCAGGCGGUUAUAUAAGACAGAUGUGAAAUCCCCGGGCUCAACCUGGGACCUGCAUUUGUGACUGUAUAGCUAGAGUACGGUAGAGGGGGAUGGAAUUCCGCGUGUAGCAGUGAAAUGCGUAGAUAUGCGGAGGAACACCGAU